Molecule: ribosomal RNA, 207 nt
Filed under: uncultured bacterium
Lineage: Bacteria
Description: partial 16S ribosomal RNA
Rfam family: Bacterial small subunit ribosomal RNA
Source: RNAcentral
AGCGUAGGUGGACUGGUAAGUCAGUUGUGAAAGUUUGCGGCUCAACCGUAAAAUUGCAGUUGAUACUGUCAGUCUUGAGUACAGUAGAGGUGGGCGGAAUUCGUGGUGUAGCGGUGAAAUGCUUAGAUAUCACGAAGAACUCCGAUUGCGAAGGCAGCUCACUGGACUGCAACUGACACUGAUGCUCGAAAGUGUGGGUAUCAAACA